UCAGCCAUCUGAGGUCAGUAUAACUCCAUUGUGAUAAAAUAGAUUGUGAUAGGGACGUACCUUUGUAGCUAGGCAUAAGAGCUAGUUGUGAAAGGGCUCUAAGUGUAUCAUGUUAUCUUAUAGGAGGUAGUUAGGCGCUGGAAUUAGCAUUGUGGGUGACUUCGGCCAAGGCCAAGGAGGAAAGGGCAAGGCUCCCAUGUACGGGUGACGGUGGAUGAGGCGAAGGGCCAUGGAAAUCUUGAGGAGGGUUUGUUGUGUCGUAGCGCCUGUUGGAUUCUCUUGGGUUCUUAGUUUUGCGAAUUGUUUUCUCUAGUCUCUGUUGAUUACUUCUAGGCUAGGUUGUCGCAAUUGUUUUCCUAGGUAUGAACUGCUUAAAUUGAUGAAUGCAUUUUCGUUA
Cucurbita pepo subsp. pepo (vegetable marrow) is the source of this 397-nucleotide non-coding RNA. Lineage: Eukaryota; Viridiplantae; Streptophyta; Magnoliopsida; Cucurbitales; Cucurbitaceae. The record is from RefSeq and is a predicted model, not a curated record.